GCACCUAUGGCUCAAUGGCAGAGCGCCAGACUUCUACUUGAGCCUUGCUUACGUAAUCUCCAUCUGGAGGCUGCGGGUUCGAGUCCCGCUAGGUGUA
Molecule: non-coding RNA, 97 nt
Organism: Ramaria rubella
Lineage: Eukaryota; Fungi; Basidiomycota; Agaricomycetes; Gomphales; Gomphaceae
Source: the annotation of a GenBank genome assembly